GACGAACGCUGGCGGCGUGCUUAACACAUGCAAGUCGAACGGAAAGGCCCUUCGGGGUACUCGAGUGGCGAACGGGUGAGUAACACGUGGGUGAUCUGCCCUGCACUUUGGGAUAAGCCUGGGAAACUGGGUCUAAUACCGAAUAGGACCACGCGCUUCAUGGUGUGUGGUGGAAAGCUUUUGCGGUGUGGGAUGGGCCCGCGGCCUAUCAGCUUGUUGGUGGGGUAAUGGCCUACCAAGGCGACGACGGGUAGCCGGCCUGAGAGGGUGACCGGCCACACUGGGACUGAGAUACGGCCCAGACUCCUACGGGAGGCAGCAGUGGGGAAUAUUGCACAAUGGGCGCAAGCCUGAUGCAGCGACGCCGCGUGAGGGAUGACGGCCUUCGGGUUGUAAACCUCUUUCAAUAGGGACGAAGCGCAAGUGACGGUACCUAUAGAAGAAGCACCGGCCAACUACGUGCCAGCAGCCGCGGUAAUACGUAGGGUGCGAGCGUUGUCCGGAAUUACUGGGCGUAAAGAGCUCGUAGGUGGUUUGUCGCGUUGUUCGUGAAAACUCACAGCUUAACUGUGGGCGUGCGGGCGAUACGGGCAGACUAGAGUACUGCAGGGGAGACUGGAAUUCCUGGUGUAGCGGUGGAAUGCGCAGAUAUCAGGAGGAACACCGGUGGCGAAGGCGGGUCUCUGGGCAGUAACUGACGCUGAGGAGCGAAAGCGUGGGGAGCGAACAGGAUUAGAUACCCUGGUAGUCCUCGCCGUAAACGGUGGGUACUAGGUGUGGGUUCCUUCCUUGGGAUCCGUGCCGUAGCUAACGCAUUAAGUACCCCGCCUGGGGAGUACGGCCGCAAGGCUAAAACUCAAAGGAAUUGACGGGGGCCCGCACAAGCGGCGGAGCAUGUGGAUUAAUUCGAUGCAACGCGAAGAACCUUACCUGGGUUUGACAUGCACAGGACGCCGGCAGAGAUGUCGGUUCCCUUGUGGCCUGUGUGGAGGUGGUGCAUGGCUGUCGUCAGCUCGUGUCGUGAGAUGUUGGGUUAAGUCCCGCAACGAGCGCAACCCUUGUCCUAUGUUGCCAGCGGGUUAUGCCGGGGACUCGUAGGGGACUGCCGGGGUCAACUCGGAGGAAGGUGGGGAUGACGUCAAGUCAUCAUGCCCCUUAUGUCCAGGGCUUCACACAUGCUACAAUGGCCGGUACAAAGGGCUGCGAUGCCGUGAGGUGGAGCGAAUCCUUUCAAAGCCGGUCUCAGUUCGGAUCGGGGUCUGCAACUCGACCCCGUGAAGUCGGAGUCGCUAGUAAUCGCAGAUCAGCAACGCUGCGGUGAAUACGUUCCCGGGCCU
Molecule: ribosomal RNA, 1337 nt
Filed under: uncultured bacterium
Lineage: Bacteria
Description: bacterial SSU rRNA
Rfam family: Bacterial small subunit ribosomal RNA
Source: RNAcentral